CCCGGGCCGUUGUACACACCGCCCGUCAAGUCACGAAAGUCGGUAACACCCGUAAGCCAGUGGCCCAACUCGUAAGAGGGGGAGCUGUCGAAGGUGGGACUGGCGAUUGGGACU
Molecule: ribosomal RNA, 114 nt
Filed under: uncultured bacterium
Lineage: Bacteria
Description: partial 16S ribosomal RNA
Rfam family: Bacterial small subunit ribosomal RNA
Source: RNAcentral